RNAcentral lists this transfer-messenger RNA (131 nucleotides) under Actinomycetota bacterium. RNAcentral's name for it is "partial transfer-messenger RNA". It matches the Rfam family "transfer-messenger RNA", at positions 1 to 135 of the family's 374-position model. Rfam says of the family: Bacterial tmRNA, also known as 10Sa RNA or SsrA, is named for its dual tRNA and mRNA-like properties. Its role is to liberate the mRNA from a stalled ribosome. Lineage: Bacteria; Bacillati; Actinomycetota. The record is from RNAcentral.
GGGGGUGAAACGGUUUCGACGUUGAGUGUUGAUGCGUUGGAAGCGAGCCGGGGUCUCCGGGGCCUCGUUAACAAACCGGAACAACCAAUAGGUGCCGAAGAUAACUUCGCCCUGGCUGCCUAAUUAAGUAG